Molecule: ribosomal RNA, 253 nt
Filed under: uncultured bacterium
Lineage: Bacteria
Description: partial 16S ribosomal RNA
Rfam family: Bacterial small subunit ribosomal RNA
Source: RNAcentral
UACGUAGGCAGCAAGCGUUGUUCGGAAUUACUGGGCGUAAAGAGUGUGUAGGCGGUGCUCUAAGUCUGUUGUGAAAUCUCCCGGCUUAACUGGGAGGGUGCGGCGGAGACUGGAGUGCUAGAGUGUGGGAGAGGUAAGCGGAAUUCCUGGUGUAGCGGUGAAAUGCGUAGAUAUCGGGAGGAACACCAGUGGCGAAGGCGGCGAUCUGGGAAGAUACUGACGCUGAGGUGCGAAAGCGUGGGGAGCAAACAGG